This 253-nucleotide ribosomal RNA is filed under the name uncultured bacterium. RNAcentral describes it as "partial 16S ribosomal RNA". It matches the Rfam family "Bacterial small subunit ribosomal RNA", at positions 524 to 776 of the family's 1533-position model. The record is from RNAcentral.
UACGAAGGGGGCUAGCGUUGCUCGGAAUUACUGGGCGUAAAGGGCGCGUAGGCGGGUCGUCAAGUUGGGGGUGAAAGCCCAGGGCUCAACCCUGGAACUGCCUUCAAAACUGGCGACCUAGAGUAUGGUAGAGGUGUGUGGAACUCCGAGUGUAGAGGUGAAAUUCGUAGAUAUUCGGAAGAACACCAGUGGCGAAGGCGACACACUGGGCCAUUACUGACGCUGAGGCGCGAAAGCGUGGGGAGCAAACAGG